Molecule: long non-coding RNA, 714 nt
Organism: Hippopotamus amphibius kiboko
Lineage: Eukaryota; Metazoa; Chordata; Mammalia; Artiodactyla; Hippopotamidae
Exons: 6
Source: RefSeq, a predicted model, not a curated record
UCUCCCGGCUGCGGUAUUGCUGUUGUCUCUGCUCUUGGUUUUCUCUUUCUGCUGUGGUCCACUGCCUUCCUCCUCCAUCCCGACCUUAGCCUCGCCGCCACCGGCGCCGCACUCGCCGGGGCUGCCUCCCGAGGCUGCAGGACGUUGAGCGCGGCAUGGAGGACCCUGGCCUGCCGGCCUAUUCGGGCCAAGGUCCGGAAGGCCACGUUGGCCGCAUGCGCAGUGGAAGGAGCCGGACCCUGUGCGGGCCGCACCCUACUCCCGCCUCAGCCCGUAGGGCCUCGUGCUCCGGUGUGACGGUCUCCAGAGUGUCCAGUAGAUGAAUUGGUGAUGAGUCCUGAUGCACAGGAUUUAGCUGUACCAGAAUGAAGAUUCCAGGGUGACCUUUCGGGUGAGUGAAGACUGGGGUCAUGACAGUGAUGGAACACAGCAGCUUCAGGACCUGGUUGCCCCGAGGUUUUACUGGUAGUACCUGAUACUGAAGUAUGUGAAAAUAUCAGCUUAUUCCUGGAGCUGUGCUUUAGAAAAAGAUCUGUUACCAGUAAAGCUGUCUUCAUCUGUGAUUGUGGAUCUACAGAAUUGGGAGAGAAACACUACAGGAAGAGGCAAAUGAAGACACAAGGAACUUUUUUAGGUGGAAAUAGCACCUUUUUCCUUUUUUUGCUGAUGCUGAUACCUGGCAUAUAAGUGACCAAUAAAAGAUUCCUGAAUGUA